This 253-nucleotide ribosomal RNA is filed under the name uncultured bacterium. Its description in RNAcentral is "partial 16S ribosomal RNA". It matches the Rfam family "Bacterial small subunit ribosomal RNA", at positions 524 to 776 of the family's 1533-position model. The record is from RNAcentral.
UACAGAGGGGGCAAGCGUUGUUCGGAAUUACUGGGCGUAAAGGGCGCGUAGGCGGCCUUCUAAGUCGAACGUGAAAUCCCUGGGCUCAACCCAGGAACUGCGUCCGAUACUGGAAGGCUUGAAUCCGGGAGAGGGAUGCGGAAUUCCAGGUGUAGCGGUGAAAUGCGUAGAUAUCUGGAGGAACACCGGUGGCGAAGGCGGCAUCCUGGACCGACACUGACGCUGAGGAGCGAAAGCCAGGGGAGCAAACGGG